Non-coding RNA from Myotis brandtii (Brandt's bat), 443 nucleotides. The record is from the annotation of a RefSeq genome assembly. NCBI's taxonomy places the organism in Eukaryota, Metazoa, Chordata, Mammalia, Chiroptera, Vespertilionidae.
GCAAGGACCUCACCUGCAAGACAUGACUCCCAUGUGGCUGUUCCUCUUCCUGCUGUCAGCUCCCAGAUGUGUCCUGUCCCAGGUGCAGCUGCAGGAGUCGGGCCCAGGACUGGUGAAGCCCUCACAGACCCUCUCCCUCACCUGCUCUUUCUCUGGAUUCUCCAUCACAACCAGUGGUUACUACUGGAACUGGAUCUGCCAGCCCCCUGGGAAGGGGCUGGAGUGGAUUGGGCGCAUAUGUAGUAGUGGAGACACUGCCUACAGCCCCUCCCUCAAGAGCCGAACCUCCAUCUCCAGAGACACGUCCAAGAACCAGUUCUCCCUGCAGUUGAGCUCCGUGACCACCGAGGACACGGCCUUGUAUUACUGUGCGAGAUACACAGUGAGGAGAAGUCAGUGUGAGCCCAGAUGGAAGCAGGAAGCCCUGCUGGGCCCUGUUCCCG